GUGGUCACAGGGGCAUCAGGAGCCCAGGACCACUUGGCUAGUUUCAGACCAGCUGGGGCAGGCAGGAAGGGACACACUCGUAUUUGCUCAGUUACAAUCAACGACUCCUUCUUUGUGUAAAAUGGUAAUGAGGCCAUUAGGAGAGGCUCACCUGAAGUGCAGCGUUGUGAAUCCAAGGUAAUUAAACACCUCCCGAAUGAAAGAGAAAGGCCAGGGAAGGUUAAGUGAGGAAUAAUCUGCGGCACAGGUGGCCCAAGGCCCUUGAGGAGCCAGAAGGAGAGCGACAGUGGCUUGCACCAUUUCAAAGGAUGGAAAUGUCACUGUAGUCCCUGGGAGGGGAAGGAUUUUUAUUUUUAUUUUGGGGGCAGGGGCAGGGAGUGGGUAGUAUUUUUAGCAUGUUAAUAGAGCAUGCUGCUUUUUCAUACUUCUCUUUGUAGGUGGAAGUCCAUGGCAGAGUCAGCCUGGGUGCUGAGUGGCCUGCAUUGCUCCUCAGGGGCUCUCAUCACUGUGGGGCUGGGGCUUAUGUGUCCUUGAUAAGGGGAGGUCAUAAUAAAUCAGUUAUAGAUACCCGGAUGUUGAGGUAGACUUCAAACUGCUUCCAAAGGAAUUGUUUUCCAUGGUCCCCUCUUGGAGUAGAGGUGGGAUAACUACCCCCUCAGUGUAUGUUCCCAGGGCUUUUUACUUUUCCUUUUUUUUUUUUUUUGAGACAGGGUCUCACUCUGUCACCCAGGCUGGAGUGCCACGGUGCAAUCAUAGCUCAUUGCAACCUCAAACUCCUGGGCUCAAGCAGUCCUCCCACCUCAGCCUUCUAAGUAGCUGAGACUACAGGCAGGUGCCACCAUGGCUGGCUAAAUCUUUUUAUAUUUUUUAUAGAGAUGGGAUCUCACUGUGUUGCCCAGGCUGGUUUUGAACUCCUGGCCUCAAACGAUCCUCCUGCCUUGGC
RNAcentral lists this long non-coding RNA (943 nucleotides) under Homo sapiens (human). Its description in RNAcentral is "non-protein coding lnc-STRBP-11:1". Lineage: Eukaryota; Metazoa; Chordata; Mammalia; Primates; Hominidae. The record is from RNAcentral.